UGGCUCAGGACGAACGCUGGCGGCGUGCCUAAUACAUGCAAGUCGAGCGAAUCAAAGGGAGCUUGCUCCCUGAGGUUAGCGGCGGACGGGUGAGUAACACGUGGGCAACCUGCCUAUAAGACUGGGAUAACUUCGGGAAACCGGAGCUAAUACCGGAUAAUUCUUUUCUACACAUGUAGGAAAGCUGAAAGACGGUUUACGCUGUCACUUAUAGAUGGGCCCGCGGCGCAUUAGCUAGUUGGUGAGGUAACGGCUCACCAAGGCAACGAUGCGUAGCCGACCUGAGAGGGUGAUCGGCCACACUGGGACUGAGACACGGCCCAGACUCCUACGGGAGGCAGCAGUAGGGAAUCUUCCGCAAUGGACGAAAGUCUGACGGAGCAACGCCGCGUGAGUGAU
RNAcentral lists this ribosomal RNA (399 nucleotides) under uncultured soil bacterium. Its description in RNAcentral is "bacterial SSU rRNA". It matches the Rfam family "Bacterial small subunit ribosomal RNA", at positions 20 to 409 of the family's 1533-position model. The record is from RNAcentral.